AGCGAACGCUGGCGGCAGGCCUAACACAUGCAAGUCGAACGGAUCCUUCGGGAUUAGUGGCGGACGGGUGAGUAACACGUGGGAACGUGCCCUUUGGUUCGGAACAACUCAGGGAAACUUGAGCUAAUACCGGAUGUGCCCUUCGGGGGAAAGAUUUAUCGCCAUUGGAGCGGCCCGCGUAGGAUUAGCUAGUUGGUGGGGUAAAGGCCCACCAAGGCUACGAUCCUUAGCUGGUCUGAGAGGAUGAUCAGCCACAUUGGGACUGAGACACGGCCCAAACUCCUACGGGAGGCAGCAGUGGGGAAUCUUGCGCAAUGGGCGAAAGCCUGACGCAGCCAUGCCGCGUGAAUGAUGAAGGUCUUUGGAUUGUAAAAUUCUUUCACCGGGGACGAUAAUGACGGUACCCGGAGAAGAAGCCCCGGCUAACUUCGUGCCAGCCGCCGCAGUAA
This 449-nucleotide ribosomal RNA is filed under the name uncultured bacterium. RNAcentral's name for it is "partial 16S ribosomal RNA". It matches the Rfam family "Bacterial small subunit ribosomal RNA", at positions 29 to 523 of the family's 1533-position model. The record is from RNAcentral.